RNAcentral lists this ribosomal RNA (331 nucleotides) under uncultured bacterium. RNAcentral's name for it is "bacterial SSU rRNA". It matches the Rfam family "Bacterial small subunit ribosomal RNA", at positions 568 to 898 of the family's 1533-position model. The record is from RNAcentral.
CGCGUAGGCGGUUUGUACAGUCGGAUGUGAAAUUCCUGGGCUCAACCUGGGGGCUGCAUCCGAGACGUGCAGACUGGAGUGUGGAAGAGGGUCGUGGAAUUCCCAGUGUAGAGGUGAAAUUCGUAGAUAUUGGGAAGAACACCGGUGGCGAAGGCGGCGACCUGGUCCAUUACUGACGCUGAGGCGCGAAAGCGUGGGGAGCAAACAGGAUUAGAUACCCUGGUAGUCCACGCCGUAAACGAUGUGCGCUGGAUGUUGGGCGGCCUAGCCGCUCAGUGUCGUAGCCAACGCGGUAAGCGCACCGCCUGGGGAGUACGGCCGUAAGGUUGAA